RNAcentral lists this long non-coding RNA (3591 nucleotides) under Octopus vulgaris (common octopus). The record is from RNAcentral. Lineage: Eukaryota; Metazoa; Mollusca; Cephalopoda; Octopoda; Octopodidae.
GGACUUCCGCUGAUUUACGAUAUAAAUGGGACUUACCUCCCCUCUAUCGUAUGUAUAUCCAUCGCAGCCUGCUUGUCUCUGUGGGUGUGCAGGUUCCCUUGAAUGACUGUGGUUUGUAACCUUUUCUUUAAAUUCUUUUUAAAUGGUUGUAUUUCUAUUUGGGCGGAAAAGUAUUCUCCUUUGAAGCUCUGUAUAUAUUCAAACUGUGUUAUAUUAGGUUUUUAUAAAAAAAAAUGCGGUGCCCCAGCAUGGCCGCAGUCUAAUUACUGGAACAAGUAAAAGAAAAAAAGAACAUGUUUCUCUCUUAUGCAUAAAACGACUUCAUAUGGUUUAAGGCUACUUUUGGUUAUGUUCCAAGUUUUUGUUUUAGAUGCUAAUUUUUUUAGCAAAACGCAAAAUGUCUAUGUUCUUUCCUCUUCUUCCACACACGCGGCAUAAAUUUUUUUUUAAGUGUUUACAAAGUUAUAGAAGAGGAAGGAACAAAAAACUGAAGUUAUCUAUUUUUGCAGAGUUGUAAUUUCUGCUGUUGAAAGCAUGCAAAACGUGAAGAUAUUGCAACUUUUGACGCAGUCGAUAAUUUCCGACGCUAUUUUAUAGGGUUACCAUCAUUUUAAUUUUUCUUUUUUUUUACUCGUUUCAAUCAUUUGACUGGCUUUGAUAUUUAAAUGAUUGAAACAAGUAAAAAAAAAAAAAAAUUAAAAUGAUGGUAACCCUAUAUAAUAGCGUCGGAAAUUAUCGACUGCGUCAAAAGUUGCAAUAUCUUCACGUUUUGCGUGCUUUCAACAGCAGAAAUUACAACUCUGCAAAAAUAGAUAACUUCAGUUUUUUGUUCCUUCCUCUUCUAUAACUUUUUAAUAUUUAUCGCAAAAAAGAAAAAUAAUUCAGAUUUGUAAGCAAUAACAUAAACCCUGUUAGUUGGCUGAGUUUUGUCACCUUUUUGUUUUUCUCCAAAAAUUUUUCUAACAAAUUCUAUGGCAUUUGCAUAGAACUGACUUUCUGACAAUUUUUUUCGGGGUAUUUUUUACAGCAUAUUAUUGUAAUUUACAUUUAAUAAUGAAAACCUUAAGUAGUUUUUGACUUCGUUACAAAUGUCUGAAAUAUGCUGAUCACAAAUAUAUCAUUUUCAAAAAUACAUUCGAUGAAAUUUGGGGUUUUUAUGAAAUAUAUAAUUUUCAACACUAUCGGAUAGCCUAAAAUAAUCAUAACUUAAAUUGCAUUUCUUUAAUUUUUUUGUUUUAUUGGUGUUAAUACAGUUUCCCACCUCACUAAACAAAUUUCGUUUGACACCUAUUUUAUCUCUUUUACUAUUCCAUUAACUUUUUAAGGUUAAAUUGGUUUUUCUUUUAAAGCCUAAUUCCAUAAACUAAUCCAAACUGGAUUAGUGAAUCUUUUCCUUUUGAACGACAGUUUUCAACACAAUUUCUAGUUAACUAAACACUUUAAAACUUCGUAUACUGGUAGAAUGUGUCAAAAUAAAACGUUUUUUUUCUCUUGGCUUUCUUGAGAAAAUUGUAAUUUGUUUGUUUAACGUAGUUUAAUUUUUCGAAUUUUAACCAAUCCUAUUGCCUCCAUUGAGCUUAAAUCAUUUGCUGCGUCUAAAACCGACAACAUCCUGUCACUAACCCUCAACCUAAAUUUAUGCCUUUCGUUUGUUUUUUUUCUUAAUUGCUAAAUUAAUUUAAGAAUAACUAUUAAGAAGAAAAAAAAAACGAAAGCAAUGGAAAAUAAUUUUAAUCUAACAAUUAAGAAAAAAAAACGAAAGCAAAAACUCAAAACAAGCGUAACAAUUAAAUUAAUUUAACAGUUAAGAAAAAAAACCAAAGGCUAAAAUUUAGGGUGAGGGUUAGUUAGGGUUAGUGACAACAAAUGAUUUUAGCUAAAUAGAGGGCAUAGGAUUGGUUAAAAUUCGAAAAAUUAAACUACGUUAAACUUACAAAUUACAAUUUUCUCAAAGCCAAGAGAAAAAAAUGUUUUAUUUUGAUACAUUCUACCAGUUUACGAAGUUUUAAAGUGUUUAGUUAACUAGAAAUUGUGUUGAAAACUGCCGUUCAAAAGGAAAAGAUCCGGAUUAGUUUAUGCACAACUCCAUUGUCUUCCAAGACAAAAGAAUACCGACAACAACAUGUUCUUUAUAACAUAGUGCAUAAGUAUAUAAAAUCAAAUCUGUCACUCUGAAAAAUACCCAUGUUAUUAUUUGUAUCUAUAUACACACGUGAAAUAUACACAAUUUAAUUUUAUAGCAUUCACACAUGCAUACACACAGCAAAUAAAUUCCUGUACAAAGUAAUCCGGCUGUUUACUUUCAUACUUACUAUUGUCUUUGUUCUUUGCAGUGAAUUUGUGCCUUAUCCAUAAUCCGACCAACAAAGAAAUAACAGCCAUAAAUAUAACAAUGAGUGGAGACUUGUUUUUGUGGAAAUCGCUGUGGAUAGUUCCCUCCAUGCAUUGCAAGUUUUCUUAGCUUGCUGUUCUAAGAAUAACUUCUCAAAUAAUGAAGUCCCUGAAGCACUGCAAGAAAACUCCAGCUGAAGGCCCAACACUGUGGAUCAUGGGCUCUAAACCAUAAUACUUAUAAACUCAGAAUUGCAGAGCUACAAAUUGCUGUGACCUGCCAUUGUGAAAUACAUACAGAAAACCAUUCAUCAUCAUCAUUGUUCGACCGUGGUCGAGACAAUGGAAUUUACUAUGUUAUGCCAGACCUCACGGUCCAUCAUAGCACUAUGGAGGUCUUGUUGCUGGAUGCCUGUAUCCCUGGAGAUUACAUCAGGGUAGGAGAGUGUGCACCCUCUGGUAUCGCGAGCAGAUGGCUUCCAGAGGAGAAGAGUAGAAGUUACCUUUUUUCUGCUCUACAACAAUGUCCAGCAAACUGGACUCUCCUACCUUUCACAAGAGAUGAUACAGGUGGUAGUUUCCCAUAUAUUUGUACUUUGGUUGGAUGAUGCUUCCACGAGAGAUUUUGAGCUCUCGUAAGGAGGCGAGUGUAAGUUCUAUCCAACCGCCUCUCAAGCUUCUUUGAUAACCAUUGAAAUGAAACCCAAUGGAAAGAUGGGAGUAUAUUGAGGGCAGAUAAAGUUCAGGAGAAAUGAAUUUAAAAGGAAAAUAUUUUUCUUUGAUUAAAUUGGAUUUUAAAGGAAGAUUUUCAAAACAAUAAAAAAAAGUUUAAAAUGACUGAAUUUCUAACAAUUUCCAUUGGGGGAAACACUGAAUUUCAGUUUGGUUUAUGAGUGAUAAAAAAAAUAAAUCCCUUGGAUUUCUAGGCUUAAUUCCUAUAAGCAAGGCAACUAGAGAGCCUUAUUCAGUUUUGCUGUUGAAGAAAUUAGAAAUGUGGCCAGAAACUUAUAAAUUGCAUUUUUCUUUUUUUUUUUUUUUCUUUUUUGUUAAUUGGUUGGGACGACGGACUACAUUAACUUUUUCUGCUCUCCGCUAAAAGCUUUCUAUUUCUAUGUACACUACAAAUGUAUCUGUCAUUCAUUGGCAUUAUGCAUUUGUGUGUUGAAACCUUGAGAUUUCUGUUCCUUGAAGUUUCCUGACUGUUUAAUCAGACAGGUAAUCAUCAUGAUCAUCAUUUAACAUCCGCUUUCCAUGCUAGCA